RNAcentral lists this unclassified non-coding RNA (832 nucleotides) under Hevea brasiliensis (rubber tree). The record is from RNAcentral. Lineage: Eukaryota; Viridiplantae; Streptophyta; Magnoliopsida; Malpighiales; Euphorbiaceae.
AAAGCCGUGAGCUUAUGUAUGUGUUCAAUAAAGUUGGUGACAUUGACCCAUUCUGGCAACCUUUUGAAUCAAUGUCAUUUCUCGAAGGCCUCUAGUGCUUUAUGAGAAAAAGUUGGCAAUUUAAUAAUGAAAAUUAAAUUUCACUAACCGUUCCUGAACUCAGAUGCUAAUUCAUCUCUAAAUAUCAAUUUGUAACAAAAAAAUGCCGGCUUCAAUUUGGUGAACAUGAAAUCCAUUUUACCUUAUUCCAGCCAAAACUCAGGUAAUCAGUUGAUGUGACAUCCCUAAUCAGCUCCAGCACCAUUAAAAAAAAAUUAAAAUUUAAGGUGUUGGCUUACACGUAAUUUUUCUCCCCUUUCAAUUUUUUUGCUUAACUUAGAAUUAUCUUUUUUAUCCACUUAAAUUUUCUCUCCCCUCUACAUGUGCUCUCUCUCCCUUCUCCUUUUUUUGUCUCCUUCCUUUCCACCACCUAGAACCUACCAUGGGCAUUUCUAUUGAUAUAAAGUUCCAGAUUAAUUAAACGCAACAUUCAGCAACUCCAAAUAUGGCUCACUUUUUGAGAAAAGCCCUCAUAUCUGUUAAUCUUACCAACAAUUCCAUCAUUAUUCAUAAACCCAACAACUCAAAAUUCAACUUAAGCCAAAUUUCAGAGCUUCCCAUCAUUGAUUAACAAGCUUAUCAAAGCCACAAUCCAAAUGCCAAAACACCCAUCAUUGAAGAUAUUAGGGAGGAAAAAAAAUUUCAAGUCCCAUCAACACAGAAAACAGUAGUAGUAAAUAUCACUGAAAAAGAAAAGAAAAGAAAAAGUUAAUUACAUCACUUUAUGACAUCA